Molecule: unclassified non-coding RNA, 390 nt
Filed under: soil metagenome
Description: partial contains 5.8S ribosomal RNA, internal transcribed spacer 2, and large subunit ribosomal RNA
Rfam family: 5.8S ribosomal RNA (bases 2-121)
Source: RNAcentral
GUGAAGAACGCAGCGAAAUGCGAUACUUGGUGUGAAUUGCAGAAUCCCGUGAACCAUCGAGUCUUUGAACGCAAGUUGCGCCCGAAGCCAUUAGGCCGAGGGCACGCCUGCCUGGGCGUCACACGUCGUUGCCCCCCCAUCUACUCCUUCGGGAUUGCGGGGGGCGGAUGAUGGCCUCCCGUGCGCCUCGUCGCGCGGUUGGCAUAAAUGCCAAGUCCUCGGCGACGCACGCCACGACAAUCGGUGGUUGCGAAACCUCGGUUGCCCGUCGUGUGCGGUCGUCGCGCAUCGAGGGCUCGAAAAAAUUGCCGGGCUCCGGCUCGGCUUUCAACGCGACCCCAGGUCAGGCGGGGUUACCCGCUGAAUUUAAGCAUAUCAAUAAGCGGAGGA